UAGAAUGAACCGGCGAGUUACGAUUUGAUGCAAGGUUAAGCAGUAAAUGUGGAGCCGUAGCGAAAGCGAGUCUGAAUAGGGCGUUUAGUAUUUGGUCGUAGACCCGAAACCAGGUGAUCUACCCUUGGUCAGGUUGAAGUUCAGGUAACACUGAAUGGAGGACCGAACCGACUUACGUUGAAAAGUGAGCGGAUGAACUGAGGGUAGCGGAGAAAUUCCAAUCGAACCUGGAGAUAGCUGGUUCUCUCCGAAAUAGCUUUAGGGCUAGCCUCAAGUGAUGAUUAUUGGAGGUAGAGCACUGUUUGGACGAGGGGCCCCUCUCGGGUUACCGAAUUCAGACAAACUCCGAAUGCCAAUUAAUUUAACUUGGGAGUCAGAACAUGGGUGAUAAGGUCCGUGUUCGAAAGGGAAACAGCCCAGACCACCAGCUAAGGUCCCAAAAUAUAUGUUAAGUGGAAAAGGAUGUGGCGUUGCCCAGACAACUAGGAUGUUGGCUUAGAAGCAGCCAUCAUUUAAAGAGUGCGUAAUAGCUCACUAGUCGAGUGACACUGCGCCGAAAAUGUACCGGGGCUAAACAUAUUACCGAAGCUGUGGAUUGUCCUUUGGACAAUGGUAGGAGAGCGUUCUAAGGGCGUUGAAGCAUGAUCGUAAGGACAUGUGGAGCGCUUAGAAGUGAGAAUGCCGGUGUGAGUAGCGAAAGACGGGUGAGAAUCCCGUCCACCGAUUGACUAAGGUUUCCAGAGGAAGGCUCGUCCGCUCUGGGUUAGUCGGGUCCUAAGCUGAGGCCGACAGGCGUAGGCGAUGGAUAACAGGUUGAUAUUCCUGUACCACCUAUAAUCGUUUUAAUCGAUGGGGGGACGCAGUAGGAUAGGCGAAGCGUGCGAUUGGAUUGCACGUCUAAGCAGUAAGGCUGAGUAUUAGGCAAAUCCGGUACUCGUUAAGGCUGAGCUGUGAUGGGGAGAAGACAUUGUGUCUUCGAGUCGUUGAUUUCACACUGCCGAGAAAAGCCUCUAGAUAGAAAAUAGGUGCCCGUACCGCAAACCGACACAGGUAGUCAAGAUGAGAAUUCUAAGGUGAGCGAGCGAACUCUCGUUAAGGAACUCGGCAAAAUGACCCCGUAACUUCGGGAGAAGGGGUGCUCUUUAGGGUUAACGCCCAGAAGAGCCGCAGUGAAUAGGCCCAAGCGACUGUUUAUCAAAAACACAGGUCUCUGCUAA
This 1217-nucleotide ribosomal RNA is filed under the name Staphylococcus aureus. RNAcentral describes it as "partial 23S ribosomal RNA". It matches the Rfam family "Bacterial large subunit ribosomal RNA", at positions 611 to 1829 of the family's 2925-position model. The record is from RNAcentral. Lineage: Bacteria; Bacillati; Bacillota; Bacilli; Caryophanales; Staphylococcaceae.